GAUGAAGAACGUAGCGAAAUGCGAUACGUAAUGUGAAUUGCAGAAUUCAGUGAAUCAUCGAAUCUUUGAACGCACAUUGCGCCCGCCAGCACUCUGGCGGGCAUGCCUGUUCGAGCGUCAUUUCAACCAUCAAGCCCUAGGCUUGCGUUGGAGCCCUGCGGCUGCCGCAGGCCCCUAAAAGCAGUGGCGGGCUCGCUAUCACACCGAGUGCAGUAGAUUACUCUUCGCUCAGGGCGUGUGGCGGGUUCCAGCCGUGAAACCCCCUACUUCUCAAGGUUGACCUCGGAUCAGGUAGGAAUACCCGCUGAACUUAAGCAUAUCAAUAAGCGGAGGA
Molecule: unclassified non-coding RNA, 334 nt
Filed under: soil metagenome
Description: partial contains 5.8S ribosomal RNA, internal transcribed spacer 2, and large subunit ribosomal RNA
Rfam family: 5.8S ribosomal RNA (bases 1-120)
Source: RNAcentral